GUGACCAGAAGGGGUGGAGCAAGGAUACACCUCUUCCCAGACCUCAUUUAAGGGUUGGCAGUGGAGGCAAAGGCAUCUGGCUGGAGAUCCCUGUUUACCUGAGUCUUUCUGAAGCAAGGAAGAAACCGGACACGAAGCUACGGACGAGGUCCACAAAUACAAAGGGAAGCUUGGGCUGAGAUGUUGCGAACAUUAGUGCCACCUAUAGGAUUUUCCGGUACAGACAUACCGUUACUUUACCUGGUGACUUGAUACUGAGGAAGUGAACGAGGGGAUGGAGAUAAUCACAAGGGAAACAUCAUGCAAAAUGAUUUAUUUUAGAAAACAAAGACAAUUGUCUAUUUCACAUGCUUACACUGCAGCUAAAGGAAGAUGGGAAACAUCCUGAAAUGAAGUGCAUGAAUUUGUAUUUAAUUAGCCCUUUGCAGCAGGACCAGGUUACAUAUGGAGCUAGGCAAGCUCAAUGCCACCAGAAAUGAGAACAAAAGUGCUGCCAGAUGGAAAACCAAGGAAAAUUAAAUUGAUUUUAUGCAUGAAAAAAAAUAUUCAAUAAGUAAAACAUAUAGAAUACAUGGAUUUCAACUCCUUUUUUUCA
Molecule: long non-coding RNA, 595 nt
Organism: Gallus gallus (chicken)
Lineage: Eukaryota; Metazoa; Chordata; Aves; Galliformes; Phasianidae
Source: Ensembl